AGUCCAUGAUGUGGGCAAAACCUUAAAAUAUCCUUGUAUCUCUCUCAUGCUUCAAAAAUAGAUUCUUUGUCUUUUUUCCUAAAUAUGUUGAUUUGGCUUCUUAGCAU
Molecule: small nucleolar RNA, 107 nt
Organism: Lathyrus oleraceus (garden pea)
Lineage: Eukaryota; Viridiplantae; Streptophyta; Magnoliopsida; Fabales; Fabaceae
Source: RefSeq, a predicted model, not a curated record